GCCACGGUGGUCUAGCGGUUAGAACGCUGGUCUUGUAAUCCUGGGGUCUCGGGUUCGAUUCCCUGCGGUGCCC
Molecule: non-coding RNA, 73 nt
Organism: Zootermopsis nevadensis
Lineage: Eukaryota; Metazoa; Arthropoda; Insecta; Blattodea; Termopsidae
Source: Rfam